This 253-nucleotide ribosomal RNA is filed under the name uncultured bacterium. Its description in RNAcentral is "partial 16S ribosomal RNA". It matches the Rfam family "Bacterial small subunit ribosomal RNA", at positions 524 to 776 of the family's 1533-position model. The record is from RNAcentral.
UACGUAGGGGGCGAGCGUUGUCCGGAAUUAUUGGGCGUAAAGAGCGUGUAGGCGGUUUGGUAAGUCUGCUGUGAAAUCCUGGGGCUCAACCCUGGGCGUGCCGUGGAUACUGCCGGGCUAGAGGGUGGGAGAGGCGAGUGGAAUUCCGAGUGUAGCGGUGAAAUGCGCAGAUAUUCGGAGGAACACCAGUAGCGAAGGCGGCUCGCUGGGCCGCACCUGACGCUGAGGCGCGAAAGCGUGGGGAGCGAACAGG